UCUUUUUUAGUAGUAGCAUAAUUUCUCUGGGCACUGUCUAGAGUUUUACUAGCAUAUUGGAUGACAUUUAAUUUCUUAUCAACUCUUUGUCCUAGAACAGCACCUACAACACAAUCACUAGCAUCACACAUAAUUUCAAAGGGUAAAUUUCAAUCAGGUGGCUGAACAAUGGGUGCAGAAAUCAAAGCUUUCUUAAGUAUUUCAAAUGCUUCUAUGCAAUCAUCAUCAAAGACAAAAGGAACAUCUUUUUGUAAGAGAUUAGUCAGAGGCCUAGAAAUUUUUGAGAAGUCUUUAAUGAACCUCCUAUAAAAACCAGCAUGACCAAGGAAACUUCUUAUACCUUUAAUGUCCUUUGGACACGACAUCUUUUCAAUAGCAUCAACUUUAGCUUUAUCAACUUCAAAACCUCUUUCAGAAAUUUUAUGCCCCAAGACAAUACCUUCAUUAACCAUAAAGUGGCACUUCUCCCAAUUCAAGACAAGAUUAGUUUCUUCACAUCUCUGCAAAACUCAAUCAAGGUUGCUUAAGCAAUCAUCAAAAGAAGUUCCAUAUACGGAGAAAUCAUCCAUGAAAACCUCAACAAUCUAUUCACAAAAUUCAGAGAAUAUAGCGUCUUUGAAAGGUAGAAGGUGCAUUACAUAGACCAGAAGGCAUACGUCUGUAAGCAAAGGUACCGAAAGGACAAGUAAAGGUGGUAUUUUCUUGAUCCUCUUUUGACACAGGUAUUUGAGAGAAACCAGAUUAACCAUCUAGAAAGCAAAAAUGUGUAUGUUUGGAUAAUCUUUCUAGCAUUUGAUCAUUGAAAGGUAAAGGGUAAUGAUACUUUUUAGUAGCUUUAUUUAGUUUGCGGAAAUCAAUUACUAUUCUAUAACCUGUAACAAUUCUUUGUGGGAUCAAUUCAUCUUUAUCAUUAGGAACAACAGUAAUACCUCCCUUCUUAGGGACACAAUGGACAUGACUUACCCACUGACUAUCAGCAACGUGAUAAAUUAUACCUGCAUCAAGAAGCUUUAGUAUUUUCUUUCUUGCCACUUUUUUCAUCUUGGGAUUUAACCGUCGUUAGUGAUCAAUGAAAGGUUUAGUGUAUUUCUCCAAUUUUAUUUUGUGCUGGCAUAGAGUGGGACUAAUGCCCUUAAGAUCAUCAAGAGUAUAUCCAAUAGCAACACGGUGCUUCUUUCGAGUUUUCAAUAAUUUCUCUUCUUCGUGCUCUGAAAGGUUAGCACUAAUAAUAACAUGUAUAUCUUCUUUUCAUCAAGAUAAGUAUAUUUAAGAGUAUCAGGCAAUGGUUUAAGCUCAAACACGGGAUCACCAUUGGGUGGAGGAGGAUCCCCUAGAAUUUCAACAGGUAAGUUGUGUUUCAAAAUAGGUCCCUGUUUAAAGAAUACUUCAUCUACCUCCCUUCUUUCAUUCAUAAACAUAUCAUUUCCAUGGUCUAGCAAAUAUUUUAAUAAAGGAUCAUUAGGAGGCACGACAAUAGAAGCAAGACCAAUAAUUUCAUAUUUACUAGGCAAUUCUUUAUCAUGGGAUUAUCUAAAAAUAGCAAAAUUAAAAUCAUGAGACAUAUCCCCUAGUCCAAUAGAAACAAUAUCCUUUUUGCAGUCUAUCUUAGCAUUAACAGUAUUCAAGAAGGGUCUACCAAAUAUAAUGGGACAAAAGUCAUCUUGUGGGGAACCAAGAACAAGAAAAUCAGCAGGAUAUUUAACUUUCCCACACAAGACUUCAACAUAUCUAACAAUCCCAACCUGUGAAAUAGUAUCUUUAUUGGCAAGCUUAAUUGUAACAUCAUUACCUUCUAACUCAGUAGGUGCAAUAGCAUGCAUAAUUUCUUCAUAUAAAGAAUGAGGUAUAGCACUCGCACUAGCACCCAUAUCACAUAAGUCAUGAUAGCAAUGAUCUCCUAUUUUAACAGAAAUAACAUGCAUGCCUACAAUAGGUCUAUGUUUAUUUUUAGUAUCAGGUCUAGCAAUUCUAGGAGCUUCAUCACAAAAGUAAAUAACAUGCCCAUCAAUUUUAUCGACCAAGAGAUCCUUAACCAUAGCAAUACUAGGUUCAACUUUAGUUUGCUCAGAGGGGGUAGGUGUUCUAGUAUUACUCUUACGAACCACAUUUGAAGCUUUAGCAUGAUCGUUUAUUCUAGUAGGGAAAGGUGGUUUCUCAAUAUAAGCGGUAGGAACAAUAGGGUCAACAUUAUAAGUGAUAGUCUUUUCUUUAACUUUAAUAGGUUCAACUACUUUUACUUCAAUGGGAGGAUGAUAUUUAAGCCACUUCUCCUUAGGGAUAUCAACAUGAGUAGCAAAUGAUUCACAAAAAGAAGCUACUAUCUCAGAGUCAAGUCCAUAUUUGGUGCUAAAUUCAUGAAAAACAUCGAUAUCCAUAAAAGAUUUAACACAAUCAAACUUAGGUGUUAUACCAGAAUCCUUACCUUCAUCGAGUUCCCAAUAUUCAGAGUUGCAUUUAACUCUUUCCAGUAAAUCCCAUUUGGAUUCAAUAGUAUUCAUCAUAAAAGAACCAGUACAAGAAGUAUCGAGCAUGGAGCAAUUAUUGAGAAAAAGUCGAGCAUAAUUUUUUUGAAUAAUAAUUUCUAUUGAGAGCUCAUGAUUGGGGCAUGAAUAUAACAUUGACAUAAGCCUCCCCCAAGCUUGAGUGAUGCUUUCUCCUUCGCGAGGCCAAAAAUUAUAUAUAUAAUUACGAUCACGAUGAACCAGAUGCAUAGGAUAAAACUUCUGAUGAAAUUCCAAUUUCAAUCGGUUGUAGUUCCAUGAUACAAUAUCAUCACAUAGCCUAAACCAUGUUAAUGCACUUCCCUUCAAAGAUAAAGGGAAUACCUUCUUCUUGAUAACAUCCUCGGGCAUACCUACAAGCUUAAAUAAUCCAUAAACUUCAUCCACAUAGAUUAGGUGCAAAUCGGGAUGUAAUGUUCCAUCUCCUGUAACAGGAUUAGCUAGCAGUCUCUCUAUCAUCCCCGAAGGAAUUUCAAAAUAAACAUUUUCAGUAGGUUCAGUAGGUUGAGGAGCAACUCUUUGCUCUACUGGUCGGGGUGAAGAUACCCCGAAUAAGCCCCUCAAAGGAUUACUUUCCAUAGUAACAAGUGACAGUAAAUUUCAGCACACUAUAUAAAUUUAUCCUUACCAAAUUCCACCUACCAAAGGCGCUUCACUCCCCGGCAACAGCGCCAGAAAAGAGUCUUGAUGACCCACAAGUAUAGGGGAUCUAUCGUAGUCAUUUCGAUAAGUAAGAGUGUCGAACCCAACAAGAGCAGCAGGAAAUGAUAAGCAAUUUUCAGUAAGGUAUUCUCUGCAAGCAUUGAAAUUAUCGGUAACAGAUAUGUUUUGUGAUAAGGUAAUUUGUAAUGGGUAACAAGUAAUAAAAGUAAAUAAGGUGCAGCAAGAUGGACCAACCCUUUUUGUAGCAAAGGACAAGCCUGGACAAACUCUUAUAUAAAGGAAAGCGCUCCCGAGGACACCUGGGAAUUAUCGUCAAGCUAGUUUUCAUCACGUUCAUAUGAUUCACGUUCGGUACUUCGAUAAUUUGAUAUGUGGGUGGACCGGUGCUUGGGUACUGUCCUUACAUGGACAAGCAUCCCACUUAUGAUUAACCCCUCUUGCAAGCAUCCACAACUACAAAAGAAGUAUUAAGGUAAACCUAACCAUAGCAUAAAACAUAUGGAUCCAAAUCAGCCCCUUACGAAGCAACACAUAAACUAGGGUUUAAGCUUCUGUCACUCUAGCAACCCAUCAUCUACUUAUUACUUCCCAAUGCCUUCCCCUAGGCCCAAACAGUAAUGAAGUGUCAUGUAGUCGACGUUCACAUGACACCACUAGAGGAAAGACAACAUACAUCUCAUCAAAAUAUCGAACGAAUACCAAAUUCACAUGACUACGUAUAGCAAGACUUCUCCCAUGUCCUCAGGAACAAACGUAACUACUCACAAAGCAUAUUCAUGUUCAUAAUCAGAGGGGUAUUAAUAUGCAUAAAGGAUCUGAACAUAUGAUCUUCCACCAAAUAAACCAACUAGCAUCAACUACAAGGAGUAAUCAACACUACUAGUAACCCACAGGUACCAAUCUGAGAUUUUGAGACUAAGAUCGGAUACAAGAGAUGAACUAGGGUUUGAGAUGAGAUGGUACUGGUGAAGAUGUUGAUGGGGAUUGACCCCCUCCCGAUGAGAGGAUCGAUGGUGAUGACGGUGGUGAUGGUUUCCCCCUCCCGAAGGGAUGUUUCUCCGGCAGAGCAGCUCCGUCGGAGCCCUAGAUUGGUUCCGCCAAGGUUCCGCCUCGUGGCAGUGGAGUUUCAUCCCGAGAGCUUGCUUAUGAUUUUUUUUCAGGGCGAAAGACUUCAUAGAGCCAAAGAUGGGCACCGGAGGCCUGCUAGGGGGGUGCACCCAGGGGGGUAGGGCGCGCCCCCACCCUCGUGGAUGGUGGGUGGCCCCCCUCUGGUGCUUCUUCGCCCAAUAUUUUAUAUAUAUAUUUCGAAACUGACUUCCCUGGAGUUUCAGGACUUUUGAGUUGUGCAGAAUAGGUCUCUAAUAUUUGCUCCUUUUCCAACCCAGAAUUCCUGCUGCCAGCAUUCUCCCUCUUCGUGCAAACCUUGUAAAAUAAGAGAGAAUAGGCAUAAGUAUUGUGACAUAAUGUGUAAUAACAACCCAUAAUGCAACAAAUAUCGAUAUAAAAUCAUGAUGCAAAAUGGAUGUAUCAGAAUGAAAAUAAAGAUGUGGUGAGACACGAAGGGAGACUUGUAGCAUAGGAGUUCACGCAGAGACCUGACAUCAUUUAUGAUGAAACCUAUUCUCCUGUUAUUGGUGGAUUAAUGUUCCAAUAUUUCAUAUCACUGGCAGAGAAUAAUGAAUUUGUAUAUCAAACUAAUGGAUGUUAUGACUGCAUAAUUGUAUGAGGCACUUGAUUCAGAUAUCAAUAUGAUAGUCCCCAAGGGAACGGAGAUUUCGAGUUUAAUCACAACAUGUGUUGCGUAAAGCUUCAAAAGUCAUUUUAUGGCUUGAAGUAGUCGGCAAUGAUGUUGUAGAACCGAUUGGGUGACUUCCUUUGUUAGAAGUAUUACUCAAACAUUGAUGAUUGCUCAUAGGUUUUCAUCAAGAAAUUUAAAGAUGGAUUUUGCCUCAUUUAUGUGUAUGUUGAUGAUCUGAAUGUUAUUGGAACCGCACAAGAAACAUACGAGACAAGCAAAUCAUCUUAAGACGGAGUGUGAGAUGAAAGAUUUGCUUGAGACCAAACUUUGCUUGAGUUUGGAACUUGAUCUUAUUCCUUCGAGAAUAUUUGUUCAUCAAUUUGCAUCUAUCCAUAAGAUUGUUGAAAAGUUCAACAUGGAUAAAUCAUAUCCACCAAAGAACUGUGGUCUAGACCCAUUUACACCUAAGGGCGAUGAUGAAAGGACAUUGGGAUUUGAGUUUCCAUAUCUUGAUGCAACCAAAGCACCAACGUAUCUAGCAAACUGCAUCAGGCCUGGCAUAUUAUUUGUAGUAAAUUCAUCUGCUAGAUAUAGUGCAUCGCCAAUGAAAUGGGAUUAGGUUGGUGUGAAGAGUAUUUUUAAGAUAUCUUCGGGGCACCAUAGAUCUUGGUUUGUUCUAUGAGAAAAAUCAAGAAAUGACCAUAGUUGGAUGUAGUGAUGUUGGGCAUGUAUCAAAUCCCCAUAACCCACAUCAUAGACUGAUUUUGUCUUCUUGAAUGGUACGACCUUCUCUUGGAAACCGAGAAGACAAACUUUAGUGGCUGCAUCCACUAGUCAUUCUGACAUCAUUGAUUUGUAUGAAGCAUCUGUUGGAAAUAUACCCUAGAGGCAAUAAUAAAAGGUUAUUAUUAUAUUUCCUUGUUCAUGAUAAUUGUCUAUUGUUCAUGCUAUAAUUGUGUUAUCCGGAAAUCGUAAUACAUGUGUGAAUACAUAGACCACAACAUGUCCCUAGUGAGCCUCUAGUUGACUAUCUCGUUGAUCAACAGAUAGUCAUGGUUUCCUGACUAUGGACAUUAGAUGUCAUUGAUAACGGGAUCACAUCAUUAGGAGAAUGAUGUGAUGGACAAGACCCAAUCUUAAGCAUAGCACAAGAUUGUGUAGUUCGUCUGCUAGAGCUUUUCUAAUAUCUAGUAUCCUUUCCUUAGACCAUGAGAUUGUGCAACUCCCGGAUACUUUAGGAAUACUUUGGGUGUGCCAAACGUCACAACGUAACUGGGUGACUAUAAAGGUGCACUACGGGUAUCUCCGAAAGUGUCUGUUGGGUUGGCAUGAAUCGAGACUGGGAUUUGUCACUCCGCAUGACGGAGAGGUAUCUCUGGGCCCACUAGGUAAGACAUCAUCGUAAUGAGCUCAAUGUGACUAAGGGUUGGUCACGGGAUGAUGUGUUGCAGAACGAGUAAAGUGACUUGCCGGUAACGAGAUUAAACGAGGUAUUGGGAUACCGACGAUCGAAUCUCGAGCAAGUAACGUACCGAUUGACAAAGGGAAUUGAAUACGGGAUUGAUUGAAUCCUCGACAUCGUGGUUCAUCCGAUGAGAUCAUCGUGGAACAUGUGGGAGCCAACAUGGGUAUCCAGAUACCGCUGUUGGUUAUUGGCCGGAGAGUUGUCUCGAUCAUGUCUGCAUGGUUCCCGAACCCGUAGGGUCUACACACUUAAGGUUUGGUGACGCUAGGGUUGUAGAGAUAUUAGUAUGCGGUAACCCAAAAAUUGUCUGGAGUCCCGGAUGAGAUCCCGGAUGUCACGAGGAGUUCCGGAAUGGUCCGGAGGUAAAUAUUUGUAUAUAGGAAGUCCAGUUUCGGCCACCGGGAAAGUUUCGGGGGUCACCCGUAUUGUACCGGGACCACCGGAAGGGUCCCGGGGUUCCACCGGGUGGGGCCACCUAUCCCAUAGGGCCCCAUGGGCUGAAGUGGGAAGGGAACCAGCCCCUGGUGGGCUGGUGCGCCCCCCUUGGGCCUCCCUUGCGCCUAGGUGUAGCACCCCAGAUGUAAUUUACCUUAUAUGUACUCCAACUCUUGCCGUUUUCGGCGCUAAGUUAUUUUAUUUCCUCGGGUUCGGUUUUUUGUCUCCGUGUGUUGUUGUCGUUUUCAUGCAUCUCACAUCAUGUCAUCAUGUGCAUUGCAUUUGCAUACGUGUUCGUCUCAUGCAUCCGAGCAUUUUCCCCGUUGUCCGUUUUGCAUUCCGGCGCUCCUAUCUCCUCCGAUGGUCCUUUCUACCUUCUUUUCGUGUGUGCGGGUUAAACAUUUCCAGAUUGGACCGAGACUUGCCAAGCGGCCUUGGUUUACUACCGGUAGACCGCCUGUCAAGUUUCGUACCAUUUGGACUUCGUUUGAUGCUCCAACGGUUAACCGAGGGACCGAGAAGGCCUCGUGAGUGUUGCAGCCCAACACCCCUCCAAUUUGGCACAAAACCCACCAAAAACCUCUCCAUAAUCUAGAGCGUUCGAUCACGAUCGCGUGGCCGAAAACCACACCUCAUUUGGACUCUCCUAGCUCCUCCUAUGUCUAUAAAUAGCACCCCGUCCGAAAUUCACGGUUCUUCUCCCCCCUAAACCCUAGAUCCAUCUUCCCCACGCCGUCAGACGCGUCCGAACCGGGCCGGACAUGUCCAACGUCCCCGCGCCGCCGCCAUGUGUCGCCCCAUGAGUCGCCAGCGUCCCGCGCCCACUUCACCGGCCCGCCGGGCCCAAGGCCGGCCCGAGCCGCCCCGCGCCCGCGCCCGAGCGCCCCGCCGCCUUCUUCCUCGGAGCCGGCCACCGCCGCCCGUGCGUCGCCUCUCCACCGGCGAAGCUCCACCAUGCCGGACCCCGCGCCGAACCUCGCCGCCGACGCCGCCACACCGCCCGCCGCCACGUUCCUCGCCGCCCUGCCGCGCCGUGGCCGGAUCCGACUCCGGCGAGCCUCCCUCCGACUCCGGCGACCACGCCCCCGCCGGCCCCUUCCAUCUCCGGCCGCCGUCCGCGCGAACUCCGGCAAGUCCUCCGGCGAGCUCGGAUCCGACCUCGGGAAGCGUGCCGAUCAAGAUCUGAGUUUAUCUCCUCGGUUGACUUUCUCCCGAAAUCCUAGAUAAAUUGCAUUUUUCAUUAUGCUAUAUCUUUGCAUCCGUAGCUCCGUUUUUGGCGUGUAGCAUAUCAAAAUGUUCGCCUCAGAGAGUACAUCAUUUCAUCUCAUUGCAUCAUUAUCAUUUAAGCUCAUCUUGAGGCCCGAAAUGCUGUUUGAAGAGAGCUAUUUGAGUUAAUUGUCAGAUCUGCUGCACCAAAUAGCUAUUUGUCAUUUUUGCCAUGAUUUUUGUGUGCAUGAUAUGGUCCUGAGGUCUACAUGAGUUUUGUUAUAUGACAUGCCAUCUUUCCAGAGGUGCUAUCCAUGUAUUUUUGUGAUAUGUGUGGUGACUAGCACAAGCAUGCAAAGUGGGGCAUUCGUUAAUGCUGAUUUCAGGGACUUAGAAUUUCUCUAAGUCCUUGAUCUGUUUUUAUCAAUAUGCCAUAUGUUCAUGUUCUUUCCUAGUGAUCCGUGCCUAUUUUGAGGAUGAUCAGUAACGAUGAUUUGUUAUUAUUGUGAUGCUCUAUCCAUCCAUGUCCUUGUUUGCAAUUAUGAAGCACCGUAGCUUGAGUUAAUCGAGCUCUACUUUUUCUAUUUCGUGAUUCCUGGCAGAUUGUCUACUUGUUAGCGAUUUUGCCGAGGAUGUUGUUGUUGAUCCGUGCAUGCUAUGUUGUUGUUCUUGCCAUGUAUAGCUUAUAUAAUAUGUAUUAUUGAUGGGUGUAUGCUUAGAUUGUCAUGCCUUGCUCUGUAGUGAGUGCAUCGAGCUCGUAAACAUGCCUACUCGUUAACAGAUUUGCAUGUUCCAGUUUUUCACUAAGUCUGUAAUCUGAUUAUGUUUUUGCCAUGUUCACAUGCUUGCAAUUGUAUUUUCUGAUCCCUUUUGGCUCAAGGUCACUAAGGGACUUUUGUUAAGCUCUUUGAGUAGCUCCAUGCCAAGCCUUGCUUUGCCAUGUUAAGUUCCUGUAGCUUAUAGUUUUCAUGCUCCAAAGUGUGCUACCUGAUCUGAAAUUCCAGACUAGUGUUAAUUUCACGAAGUCUGAAACCUGUUUAUCAAUUGCACUUUUGCCAUGCUUGUUUGAACCUGUUAAUUGAUGAAUUGGCCGUAGCUCAGUGCUCAUAUUUUGUCAAGCAUCAUGAGUGGAUCCCUGCCAUGUAUUUUGUUGUCAUGCUUGGGUGCUGUAGCAUAAUUAUCUUGAUGCAUUUAGAUGGCUACUUGCUGUUUAUCGCAGACCGGUGCCAUAUUUGUUUUGCUUGCCAUUUCCAAACCGUGCAUCCGAUUCCGGUGUUCUUUAUAUCGAUUUCAACCGAAAUCACCUCACCUUUCCAGUGGCACACUUGGAUUUCCAAGUUGAGGCCAGGUUCAAUCAUUCCUUGUCAAAUCUUGCAUAUGCAUCACAUAUCGCAUCCCGCAUAGCAUACCAUGUUUUGCAUCAUGUUGUUUGAGCUUUGCACAUGGUUGAUUGUGUUCCUUUUGCUUGUUUGUCUUGUUUGGGUAGAGACAGGAGAUGAGUUUGAUAAUGAGGAGCCCGUUGAGUUUGCUUUUGAGGAUCCAGUCAACUUUGACAACUUUGCAGGCAAGAUGAUCAUACCCUUGAAAUCACUUCUAUCUUUGCUUGCUAGAUGCUCGCUCUUUUGCUAUGCCUAUGCUACGAUGCCUACCACUUGCUUAUCAUGCCUCCCAAAUUGCCAUGUCAAAACCUCUAACCCACCAUGUCCUAGCAAACCGUUGAUUGGCUAUGUUACCGCUUUGCUCAGCCCCUCUUAUAGCAUUGCUAGUUGCAGGUGAAGAUUGGAGAUCGUUCCUUGUUGGAACAUUGUUUAUUGUUGGGAUAUCAUUAUAUUAUCUUGUUAUCUUAAUGCAUCUAUAUACUUGGUAAAGGGUGGAAGGCUCGGCCUUUUUCCUAGUGUUUUGUUCCACUCUUGCUGCCCUAGUUUCCGUCAUAUCGGUGUUAUGUUCCCGGAUUUUGCGUUCCUUACGCUGCUGGGCAAUAAUGGGAACCCCUUGACAUUUCGCCUUGAAUAAAACUCCUCCAGCAAUGCCCAACCUUGGUUUUACCAUUUGCCACCUAGCCUCUCUUUUUUCCCUUGGGUUUCCGGAGCCCAAGGGUCAUCUUAUUUAAACCCCCCGGGCUAGUGCUCCUCUGAGUGUUGGUCCAACCUGUCAGCUGCCGGUGGCCACCAGGGGCAACUCUGGGCUGGCCUACCCAUACCUUGGACAAUCUGAGUGUGCCCUGAGAAAGAGAUAUGUGCAGCUCCUAUUAGGAUUUGUCGGCACAUUCGAGCGGUGUUGCUGGUUUAGUUUUACCUUGUCGAAAUGUCUUGUAACCGGGAUUCCGAGUCUGAUCGGGUCUUCCCGCUAGAAGGAAUAUCCUUCGUUGACCGUGAGAGCUUGUCAUGGGCUAAGUUGGGACUCCCCUGCAGGGAUUUGAACUUUCGAAAGCCGUGCCCGCAGUUAUGGGCAGAUGGGAAUUUGUUAAUGUCCGGUUGUAGAUAACUUGAACCUCAACUUAAUUAAAAUGAAUCAACCGCGUGUGUAACCGUGAUGGUCUCUUCUCGGCGGAGUCUGGGGUGAACACGAUGUUGGAGUAAUGUUUGUCGUAGGUUGUCCUCUAGUUCUUCGUUCAUGCUUUGCCUUCUCUUCUCGCUCUCUUUUGCGAACAGGUUAGCCACCAUAUAUGCUAGUCGCUUGCUGCAGCUCCACAUAUUACCUUACCUUACCUAUAAGCUUAAAUAGUCUUGAUCGCGAGGGUGCGAGAUUGCUGAGUCCCCGUGGCUCACAGAUUACUUCCAAACCAGAUGCAGGGCCCGAUGACUCCGUUCCAGAUGAUGCGCUUGAGCUCAAGUGGGAGUUCGACGAAGACUCACGCCAUUACUAUGUGUCUUUCCCUGAUGAUCAGUAGUGGUGCCCAGUUGGGGUGAUCGGGACCAUGUCGCAUGUUGGGGUUGAUCUUUUACUUUGGUACCAUAGUCGGACCAUGAGUGUAUUGGAUGAUGUAAUGUUAUUUACGUAUUUGUGUGACGUGGCGAGUGUAAGCCAACUAUGUUCCUUUCCCCCUUAUUAUCUAUUUACAUGGGUUGUUGUGAAGAUUACCUUACUUGCGACAUUGCUUUCAAUGCGGUUAUGCCUCUAAAUCGUGCUUCGACACAUAGGAGAUAUAGCCGCAUCGAGGGCAUUACAAGUUGGUAUCAGAGCCUUCCCCGACCUUAGGAGCCCCAUUGCUUGAUCGAAUUAGCGGACGAGUUGAGUCUAGAAAAAUGUUUUGAGUCAUUUAGGAAUUAUAUAUCAGGGAGUUUAGGAAUUCUUUUUUACUUCCCAGCCCCUUCAUCGCUCUGGUGAGGCAUCCUAACGUAGAGUUUUGACUCUUCUCUUCUCAAAUUUCACUAAAAAAAAUUUAGGAUCACGUGGGUAUCUUGGAAUCGUUCCGAUGGUUUUGUGACGAGAACAUUGUUCUUGGUGCCUCCUGUCAUUUAGGAGUUGUGGCAGUGUCCCGGGGAGUUGAGCUCCGAGGUGUUGUCAUCACAAUUUUAUCGUUGCAGUUCUGAAAUACCUGAGUUUAGUUCGCCGACAUCGAAAAUCUCUUUUAUGCAGUUGUUGCUGAGAUAACCUCGACGCCACCCAGUACUGGGGCGGGAGUUCGGGAGUAUUGCCAUAACUUGUAUAAUGGAUGCUUUUCGAAGGUUGAGGUAGACAAUUUCCGAAGUUUUUCUCGGUUAUGUGUUGAAGGAUGGAUACAGCUGGAUGUAGGAUUUGCUAGAUUUGGGUGAGAUAUUAUGCUUCCCCUGUAUCCCCAACACCUGAUUGCGUAACCGGAAAGGUUCGGGAGUUUCAUAGGUGGGAAUUCUUGUAGCUCUAGUUAUUCUUCCACGGAUAUUUGGUUUGAGAUUGGGUGAUCCUUACCGAGUAUUCGUUCUUGCUCUGAACCUUGUUGAUUUUAUUCCUCUACCUAAAUUCUAAGUGGCUUCUCAAUUUAUGGAUAUGUGACCAUUUCAAGUGGAAUGCAUUCAUUCAUUUUGUUCAGAUGUGAAGACGAAAUGUUGCAAAUUUCAACCCGCUUGAUUCAGCUUCAAUUUUAUCUGUCAAUGUGCUAAAGGAUGUCAACCUCUUCAGGAUGGCUCCUCCAACGCGCACGACUCCGAAUCCUGAUCCGCCACCACCACCCCCUCCUUUGGAGGCAUGGCAAGCUGUGAUGGGCGCUACCAAUGCAAACACGCAGUUGAUCAUGCAAAUUCUUCAAGAGCACAAUCAAGCGAACCAAGGCAACCAAGGCAACCAGGGCAACAAUCAGAAUCGCUUUGCUACACUCAACCAGUUCCUUUCUAACCAGCCAAAGACUUUCAGCAAUUAUGUUGAGGCAACUGACGCUGAUGAUUGGCUCAUGGACUUGCGCAAGCAUUUCGAGUGCAGUAACGUCAGGCCUGAGGACUUUGUCAAGUUCGCUUCCUUCCAACUCAGAGACCAAGCUGCAGAAUGGUUUCAGCAGUACAAAGAUUCUAGAGGAGGCCGUGAGAUUACCUGGGAUGAAUUCCUUCAAGACUUCAAAGCUCAUCAUAUUCCUCAGAGCGUGGUUGAAAGCAAGCGUGAGGAAUUCCGCAACCUGAAGCAAGGCUCUACGUUUGUCUAUGACUACAACAAGUUGUUUCAGAAGCUCGCCCGCUUUGCUAAGCAGGACGUCCCUGACGAGAAGAGCAUGAUAUAUCAGUUCAGGGGUGGUCUUAGAGAAGAAAUCCAGCUAGCUCUUGUCCUCUUUGAGCCCAGGAGGUACGAUGAGUUUUACAACAUGGCAUUGAAGCAAGAAGCCGCUCAACUGAAGUGUGAUGCUUCCAAGAAGCGAGUCAGAGAUGCUACUCCUUCUUCCUCAACUCAAGUGGCUAAGCAGCAGAAGUAUUGGCUUCCUCCUCCAUUCCGUCAGCCUUUUCAACAGAAGCACAAAGGUGGGAGUGGAUCUUCCCACCCACCCAACCCUGGCUUUCAGAACAAGACUUCGUCUCAAGCUCCAAGAUCGAGUGCUCUGUAUCACCGUCCGCUUUCAGAGGUCAAGUGCAACAAGUGCCAACAGAAGGGUCACUAUGCCAACAAAUGCUUCAAUCAGAGGCGUCUCCCUCCUCCUCUUCCUGUGAGAUCGGCAAGUACAGCUGUGGUCAAGCAUAACCCCAAGCACGCCAAGGUCAAUUUGAUGAAUGCAGCUCAGGCAGAGGACUCGCCAAAUGUCAUCAUGGGUAACCUUCCUGUUAAUGAUAUUCUAGCUAAAGUUCUUUUUGACACUGGUGCAUCGCAUUGUUUCAUCUCGAGACCUUUUGCAUCUAAGCAUGAGUUGGCCUUGCAAGUUUUGCCUAGACCGUUAGCAGUUGUAUCUCCCGGUAGGCGCAUGCAUGCUAACUCCAUUGUUCCAGAUGUUACUAUCACUUUAGGUGACUACAAAUUUCUGUCUUCUCCUACGGUUCUUGGUGACUCGGAUAUUGAUCUUAUUCUCGGAAUGGAUUGGCUUUCUAAGCACAAGGCUCAGCUUGAUUGUGCAGCCAGGCAGAUUCAAUUGACUCAUUCGUCUGAGGAUGUAAUUGUCUUUGCCGCUCGUGAUGAUACCAUUCGUCUGUUUUCCCUCAAUGAGAAGGGUGAACUGGAUGCCAUCUCUCAAAUUCCAGUCGUUUGCGAAUAUCAAGACGUCUUUCCAGAAGAGCUUCCAGGAAUGCCUCCGCACCGGCCAAUUGAAUUCAUCGUCGAUCUUGAGCCUGGCACGGAACCGGUUUGCAAGCGUCCUUACAAGCUCGGACCUGAAGAGUUGAAGGAGCUGAAGAAGCAACUCGAUAUUCAAGAGCGAAUGGGUCUCAUCCGACCUAGUUCUUCUCUGUGGGGUUGUGGAGUACUUUUUGUGAAGAAGAGGGAUGGAACGGACCGACUUUGUGUUGACUACCGUCCAUUGAACAAGAAGACUAUCAAGAACACGUACCCACUUCCCAACAUCAAUGAGCUGUUCGAACAACUCAAAGGUGCCCAAGUAUUCUCCAAGCUUGAUCUCCGUAUGGGUUAUCAUCAGAUUCGAAUCUGUGAGCAAGAUAUUCCCAAGACGGCUUUCAGAACAAGCUAUGGUUCAUACGAAUACACUGUCAAAUCUUUUGGCCUCGUCAACGCUCCUCCGACUUUCUCUCGCAUGAUGAACUUCAUCUUCAACGCCUACACAAAUGGCUUCGUUUUGGUCUAUCUCGACGACAUUCUGGUCUUUUUGAAGAACAAGGAAGAUCAUGCCAAGCACUUGCGUUUGGUGCUCGAUAAGCUCAGGGAACAUCAGUUAUACGCCAAGUUCUCAAAGUGCGAGUUUUGGCUCGAUGAGGUUCUUUAUCUUGGGCAUAUCAUCUCCACCAAGGGCAUUGCGGUGAAUCCUGAGAAGGUGUCUAUAAUUCUGAAUUGGGAACCACCUCAGAACGCGAAGCAACUCCGUAGCUUCCUUGGUCUCUCAAGCUACUAUCGAAGGUUCGUUGAGAACUUUUCAAAGAUCGCGAAGCCUCUUUCAAACCUUCUCUAGAAGCACGUCAAGUACAUUUGGUCUCCGGAAUGUGACAUCGCUUUCAACUCUUUGAAAGAGAAAUUGGUCACUGCUCCAGUUCUGACUCCUCCUGAUGAAUCCAAACCGUUCGAGGUCGUCUGCGAUGCCUCUCUUCAAGGUCUUGGUGCAGUGUUGAUGCAAGAGAACAAAGUUGUGGCUUAUACCUCUCGCUAGUUGAAGCCCAACGAGAAGAACUACCCCACUCAUGACCUCGAGUUGGCGGCAGUUGUGCAUGCUCUUUUGACUUGGAGACAUCUCUUAUUGGGAAGAAAAGUGGACAUCUUCACUGACCACAAGAGUCUCAAGUACAUCUUCACUCAGCCUAAUCUCAACCUCAGGCAGACUCGUUGGGUCGAAAUGAUUCAAGAGUAUAAUCCGAGUAUCGAGUAUACUCCAGGCAAGGCCAAUGUGAUUGCUGACGCAUUGAGCAGGAAGGCUUACUGCAACAGUCUGAUUCUCAAGCCUUAUCAACCCGAGCUUUGUGAAGCUUUCCGCAAACUCAAUCUGCAAGUUGUUCCUCAAGGUUUCCUCGCCAACCUUCAAGUCUCUCCUACUUUGGAAGAUCAGAUUCGCGAGGCUCAACUUCUUGAUGCUAUGGUGAAGAAGGUGAAGAUUGGGAUUGCCAAGAGUCAACCCAAGUACAAGUGCUAUCGCCUUGGUGACAAGGAUACUCUCUUCUUCGAGGAUCGUAUUGUUGUGCCUAAAGGUGACCUUCGUAAAGUUAUCAUGAAUGAGGCUCACAAUUCACUCCUCGCCAUCCACCCUGGGAGUACGAAGAUGUAUCAGGACCUCAAGCAGGCUUAUUUGUGGACUCGAAUGAAGCGAGAGAUUGCUAAGUUCGUGAAUGAGUGUGAUGUCUUCAGAAGAGUGAAGGCAGAACCCCAAAGGCCAGCUGGUCUCCUCCAACCUCUUGCCAUUCCAGAAUGGAAGUUUGACCACAUUGAGAUGGAUUCGUGACUGGGUUUCCAAAGUCCAAGCGUGGCAAUGAUGCUAUAUUCGUUGUCAUCGACAAACUCACUAAAGUGGCUCACUUUCUGCCUAUCAAAGAGUCUAUCAUUGCAGCUCAAUUGGCGGAGCUGUAUACCUCUCGAAUUGUCUCUCUGCACGGUAUUCCACAGGUGAUCUAUUCAGACCGUGGCAGCAUCUUUACCUCCAAGUUUUGGGAUUCUUUUCAGAAGGCCAUGGGCACCAACAUCCGCUUUAGCACAACUUUCCAUCCUCAAACUAGCGGUCAAGUCGAGCGUGUCAAUCAAAUUCUUGAAGAUAUGCUUAGGGCUUGUGUUAUAUCCUUCGGUAUGAAGUGGGAAGAUUGUCUUCCAUAUGCCGAAUUCUCCUACAACAACAGUUUUCAAGCGAGUUCGGGCAAGGCCCCAUUCAAAAUUCUGUAUGGCAGGAAGUGCCGUACUCCUCUUUACUGGUCGGAAACCGGUGAACGUCAACUUCUUGGAAAUGACUUAAUCACAGAGGCAGAGGAGAUGUGCAAAGUCAUUCGAGAUAACCUCAAAGCAGCGCAAUCGCGCCAGAAGAGCUACUAUGAUAGUAAGCACCGUGAUUUGGCUUUCGAGAUCGAAGACCAUGUUUACCUCCGCGUCUCUCUAAUGAAAGGUACUCGUCGCUUCGAUAUCAAAGGGAAGCUUGCCCCUAGAUACGUGGGUCCUUUCAAAAUCAUCAGCAAGAGACGCGAUCUCGCCUAUCAACUCGAGCUUCCUUCAAACUUUGCAAAUGUGCACGACGUGUUCCAUGUCUCUCAGCUCCGCAAGUGCUUCAAGACUCCUGACUGCACCGUCAACUUCGAAGACAUUGAUCUCCAAGAAGAUCUCUCUUAUCGUGAGCACCCCGUUGCUAUUCUUGAAGAGACUAAACGCAAGACUCGCAAUAAGUCAAUCAAAUUCCUCAAAGUCAAGUGGUCACACCAUUCCGACCGUGAAGCCACCUGGGAACGCGAGGAUCACCUCUGUUCUGAGUACCCGGCGUUCUUCCAGUCCUAGAUCUCGGGACGAGAUCCUUUCGUAGUGGUGGAGUGUUGUAACACCCCGGAUGUAAUUUACCUUAUAUGUACUCCAACUCAUGACGUUUCCGGCGCUAAGUUAUUUUAUUUCCUCGGGUUCGGGUUUUUGUCUCCGUGUGUUGUUGUCGUUGUCAAGCAUCUCAUAUCAUGUCAUCAUGUGCAUUGCAUUUGCAUACGUGUUCGUCUCAUGCAUCCAAGCAUUUUCCCCGUUGUCCGUUUUGCAUUCCGGCGCUCCUAUCUCCUCCGGUGGUCCUUUCUACCUUCUUUUCGUGUGUGCGGGUUAAACAUUUCCGGAUUGGACCGAGACUUGCCAAGCGGCCUUGAUUUACUACUGGUAGACCGCCUGUCAAGUUUCGUACCAUUUGGACUUCGUUUGAUGCUCCAAUGGUUAACCGAGGGACCGAGAAGGCCUCGUGUGUGUUGCAGCCCAACACCCCUCCAAUUUGGUCCAAAACCCACCAAAACCCUCUCCAUCAUCUAGAGCGUUCGAUCACGAUCGCAUGGACAAAAACCAUACCUUAUUUGGACUCUCCUAGCUCCUCCUAUGUCUAUAAAUAGAACCCCCUCCGAAAUUCACGGUUCUUCUCCCCCCUAAACCCUAGAUCCAUCUUCCCCGCGCCGCCGGACGCAUCCGAACCGGGUCGGACAUGUCCAACGUCCCCGCGCCGCCGCCACGUGUCGCCCUGUGAGUCGCCAGUGUCCCGCGCCCACUUCGCCNNNNNNNNNNNNNNNNNNNNNNNNNNNNNNNNNNNNNNNNNNNNNNNNNNNNNNNNNNNNNNNNNNNNNNNNNNNNNNNNNNNNNNNNNNNNNNNNNNNNNNNNNNNNNNNNNNNNNNNNNNNNNNNNNNNNNNNNNNNNNNNNNNNNNNNNNNNNNNNNNNNNNNNNNNNNNNNNNNNNNNNNNNNNNNNNNNNNNNNNNNNNNNNNNNNNNNNNNNNNNNNNNNNNNNNNNNNNNNNNNNNNNNNNNNNNNNNNNNNNNNNNNNNNNNNNNNNNNNNNNNNNNNNNNNNNNNNNNNNNNNNNNNNNNNNNNNNNNNNNNNNNNNNNNNNNNNNNNNNNNNNNCCACGCCGGACCCCGCGCCGAACCUCGCCGCCGACGCCGCCACAUCGCCCGCCGCCACGUUCCUCGCCGCCCUGCCGCGCCGCGGCCGGAUCCGACUCCGAGGACCACGCCCCCGCCGGCCCCUUCCAUCUCCGGCCACCGUCCAGGCGAACUCCGCAAGUCCUCCGGCGAGCUUGGAUCCGACCUCGGGAAGCAUGCCGAUCCAGAUCUGAGUUUAUCUCCUCGGUUGACUUUCUCUCGAAACCCUAGAUAAAUUGCAUUUUUCAUCAUGCUAUAUCUUUGCAUCCGUAGCUCAGUUUUGGGCGUGUAGCAUAUCAAAGUGUUCGUCUCAGAGAGUACAUCAUUUCAUCUCAUUGCAUCAUUGUCAUUUGAGCUCAUCUUGAGGCCCAAAAUGCUGUUUGAAGAGAGCUAUUUGAGUUAAUUGUCAGAUCUGCUGCACCAAAUAGCUAUUUGUCAUUUUUGCCAUGAUUUUUGUGUGCAUGAUAUGGUCCUGAGGUCUACAUGAGUUUUGUUAUAUGACAUGCCAUCUUUCCAGAGGUGCUAUCCAUGUAUUUUUGUGAUAUGUGUGGUGACUAGCACAAGCAUGCAAAGUGGGGCAUUCGUUAAUGCUGAUUUCAGGGACUUAGAAUUUCUCUAAGUCCUUGAUCUGUUUUUAUCAAUAUGCCAUAUGUUCAUGUUCUUUCCUAGUGAUCCGUGCCUAUUUUGAGGAUGAUCAGUAACGAUGAUUUGUUAUUAUUGUGAUGCUCUAUCCAUCCAUGUCCUUGUUUGAAAUUAUGGAGCACCGUAGCUUGAGUCAAUCGAGCUCUACUUUUGCUAUUUCAAGAUUUCUGGCAGAUUGUCUACUUGUUAGCGAUUUUGCCGAGGAUGUUGUUGUUAAUCCGUGCAUGCUAUGUUGUUGUUCUUGCCAUGUCUAGCUUACAUAAUAUGUAUUCUUGAUGGGUGUAUGCUUAGAUUGUCAUGCCUUGCUCUGUAGUGAGUGCAUCGAGCUCGUAAACAUGCCUACUCGUUAACAGAUUUGCAUGCUCCAGUUUUUCACUAAGCCUGUAAUCUGAUUAUGUUUUUGCCAUGUUCACAUGCUUGCAAUUGUAUUUUCUGAUCCCUUUUGGCUCAAGGUCACUAAGGGACUUUUGUUAAGAUCUUUGAGUAGCUCGAUUCCAUGCCUUGAUUUGCCAUGUUAAGUUCCUGUAGCUUAUAGUUUUCAUGCUCCAAAAUGUGCUACCUGAUCUGAAAUUCCAGACUAGUGUUAAUUUCACGAAGUCUGAAACCUGUUUAUCAAUUGCACUUUUGCCAUGCUUGUUUGAACCUGUUAAUGGAUGAAUUGGCCGUAGCUCAGUGUUCAUCUUUUGUCAAGCAUCAUGAGUGGAUCCCUGUCAUGUAUUUUUGGUCAUGUUUGGGUGCUGUAGCAUAAUUACCUUGAUGCAUUUAGAUGGCUGCUUGCUGUUUAUCGCACACCGGUGCCAUAUUUGUUUUGCUUGCCAUUUCCAAACCGUGCAUCCGAUUCCGGUGUUCUUUAUAUCGAUUUCAACCGAAAUCACCUCACCUUUCCAGUGGCACACUUGGAUUUCCAUGUUGAGGAUAGGUUCAGUCAAUCCUUGUCAAAUCUUGCAUAUGCAUCACAUAUCGCAUCCCGCAUAGCAUACCAUGUUUUGCAUCAUGUUGUUUGAGCUUUGCAAGUGGUUGAUUGUGUUCCUUUCGCUUGUUUGUCUUUUUUGGGUAGAGUCGGGAGAUGAGUUUGCUAACAAGGAGCCCAUUGAGUUUGCUUUUGAGGAUCCAGUCAACUCUGACAACUUUGCAGGCAAGAUGAUCAUACCCUCGAAAUCACUUCUAUCUUUGCUUGCUAGAUGCUCGCUCUUUUGCUAUGCCUAUGCAACGAUGCCUACCACUUGCUUAUCAUGCCUCCCAAAUUGACAUGUCAAAACCUCUAACCCUCCAUGUCCUAGCAAACCGUUGAUUGGCUAUGUUACCACUUUGCUCAGCCCCUCUUAUAGCGUUGCUAGUUGCAGGUGAAGAUUGGAGAUCGUUCCUUGUUGGAACAUUGUUUAUUGUUGGGAUAUCAUUAUAUUAUCUUGGUAUCUUAAUGCAUCUAUAUAGUUGGUAAAGGGUGGAAGGCUCGGCCUUUUGCCUAGUGUUUUGUUCCACUCUUGCCUCCCUAGUUUCCGUCAUAUCGGUGUUAUAUUCCCGGAUUUUGCGUUCCUUACGCGGUUGGGCAAUAACGGGAACCCCUUGACAUUUUGCCUUGAAUAAAACUCCUCCAGCAAUGCCCAACCUUGGUUUUACCAUUUGCCACCUAGCCUCUUUUUUCCCUUGGGUUUCUGGAGCCCAAGGGUCAUCUUAUUUAAACCCCACCAGGCCAGUGCUCCUCUGAGUGUUGGUCCAACCUGUCAGCUGCCGGUGGCCACCAGGGGAAACUCUGGGCUGGCCUACCCGUACCUUGGACAAUCUGAGUGUGCCCUGAGAAAGAGAUAUGUGCAGCUCCUAUCGGGAUUUGUCGGCACAUUCGGGCGGUGUUGCUGGUUUAGUUUUACCUUGUCGAAAUGUCUUGUAACCGGGAUUCCGAGUCUGAUCGGGUCUUCCUGCUAGAAGGAAUAUCCUUUGUUGACCAUGAGAGCUUGUCAUGGGCUAAGUUGGGACUCCCCUACAGGGAUUUGAACUUUUGAAAGCCGUGCCCGCGGUUAUGGGCAGAUGGGAAUUUGUUAAUGUCCGGUUGUAGAUAACUUGAACCUCAACUUAAUUAAAAUGAAUCAACCGCGUGUGUAACCGUGAUGGUCUCUUCUCGGCGGAGUCCGGGGAGUGAACACGGUGUUGGAGUAAUGUUUGUCGUAGGUUGUCCUCUAGUUCUUCGUUCGUGCUUUGCCUUCUCUUCUCGCUCUGUUUUGCGAACAGGUUAGCCACCAUAUAUGCUAGUCGCUUGCUGCAGCUCCACAUAUUACCUUACCUUACCUAUAAGCUUAAAUAGUCUUGAUCGCGAGGGUGCGAGAUCGCUGAGUCCCCGUGGCUCACAUAUUACUUCCAAACCAGAUGCAGGGCCCGAUGACUCCGUUCCAGAUGAUGCACUUGAGCUCAAGUGGGAGUUUGACGAAGACUUACGCCGUUACUAUGUGUCUUUCCCUGAUGAUCAGUAGUGGUGCCCAGUUGGGGCGAUCGGGACCAUGUCGCAUGUUGGGGUUGAUCUUUUAUUUUGGUACCAUAGUCGGACCAUGAAUGUAUUGGAUGAUGUAAUGUUAUUUAUGUAUUUGUGAGACGUGGCGAGUGUAAGCCAACUAUGUUCCUUUCCCCCUUAUUAUCUAUUUACAUGGGUUGUUGUGAAGAUUACCUUACUUGCGACAUUGCUUUCAAUGCGGUUAUGCCUCUAAGUCAUGCGUCGACACGUAGGAGACAUAGCCGCAUCGAGGGCGUUACACUAGGGUUGGAAACCCUAAGGGGGUGGGGGCGCCUCCACCUGGCUUGGGGGCCAAGCCACCCCCUAGUCCGCCCCCUCCCCAUUAGAUGGGAUCUCUAGGGGCCGGCGCCCCCCCAGCCCCCUAUAUAUAGUGGAGGGGAGGGAGGGCAGCCGCACCCAAGUCCCUGGCGCCUCCCUCCCUCCCGUGACACCUUUUCCUCCCCGCUUGCGCUUGGCGAAGCCCUGCCGGGAUCCCGCUACUUCCACAACCACACCGUCGUGCUGCUGGAUCUCCAUGAACCUAUCCUUCCCUUGCUGGAUCAAGAAGGAGGAGACGUCUCUCCCAACCGUACGUGUGUUGAACGCGGAGGUGCCGUCCGUUCGGCGCUCGGUCAUCGGUGAUUUGGAUCACGACGAGUAUGACUCCAUCAACCCCGUUCUCUUGAACGCUUCUGCUUGCGAUCUACAAGGGUAUGUAGAUGCACUCCUCUCCCUCUCGUUGCUAGAUGACUCCAUAGAUUGAUCUUGGUGAUGCGUAGAAAGUUUUAAAUUUGUGCUACGAUCCCCAACAGUGGAAUCAUGAGCUAGGUCUAUGCGUAGUUUCUAUGCAUGAGUAGAACACAAGUUGUUGUGGGCAUUGAUUUUGUCAAUUUACUUGCCGUUACUAGUCUUAUCUUAAUUCGGCAGCAUCGUGGGAUGAAGCGUCCCAGACCGACCUUACACGUACGCUUACGUGAGACUGGUUCCACUGACUGACAUGCACUAGUUGCAUAAGGUGGCUAGCGGGUGUCUGUCUCUCCCACUUUAGUCCGAUCGGAUUCGAUGAAAAGGGUCCUUAUGAAGGGUAAAUAUAAAUUGGCAUAUCACGUUGUGGUUUUGGCGUAGGUAAGAAACGUUCUUGCUAGAAACCUAUAACAUGCACGUAAAACUUGCAACAACAAUUAGAGGAUGUCUAACUUGUUUUUGCAGCAUGUGCCGUGUGAUGUGAUAUGGCCAAAAGGAUGUGAUGAAUGAUAUAUGUGAUGUAUGAGAUUGAUCGUGUUCUUGUAAUAGGAAUCACGACUUGCAUGUCGAUGAGUAUGACAACCGGCAGGAGCCGUAGGACUUGUCUUAAUUUAUUUAUGACCUGUGUGUCAACAUAAACGUCAUGUAAUUACUUUACUUUAUUGCUAACCAUUAGCCAUAGUAGUAGAAGUAAUAGUUGGCGAGACAACUUCAUGAAGACAUGAUGAUGGAGAUCAUGAUGGUGGAGGUCAUGGUGUCAUGCCGAUGACAAUGAUGAUCAUGGCGCCCCGAAGAUGGAGAUCAAAAAGAGCAAAAUGAUAUUGGCCAUAUCAUGUCACUAUUUGAUUACAUGUGAUGUUUAUCAUGUUUUACAUCUUAUUUGCUUAGAACGACGGUGGCAUAAAUAAGAUGAUCCCUCGCAAUAAUUUCAAGAAAGUGUUCCCCCUAAUUGUGCACCAUUGCUAAGGUCCGUUGUUCCGAAGCACCACGUGAUGAUCGGGUGUGAUAGGUUCUAACGUUCGCAUACAACGGGUGUAAGCCAGAUUUACACACGCAAUACACUUAGGUUGACUUGACGAGCCUAGCAUGUACAGACAUGGCCUCGGAACACGGAAGACCGAAAGGUCAAACAUGAGUCGUAUAGAAGAUACGAUCAACAUGAAAAUGUUCACCGAUGAUGACUAGUCCGUCUCACGUGAUGAUCGGACACGGCCUAGUUGACUUGGAUCAUGUAUCACUUAGAUGACUAGAGGGAUGUCUAUCUGAGUGGGAGUUCGUUUAAUAAUUUCAUUAGAUGAACUUAAUUAUCAUGAACAUAGUCUAAAAAUCUUUGCAAUAUGUCAUGUAGAUCAAAUGGCCCACGCUAAUGUUGCCCUCAACUUCAACGCGUUCCUAGAGAAAACCAAGCUGAAAGACGAUGGCAUCAACUACACGGACCGGGUCCGUAACCUGAGGAUUAUCCUCAUAGCUGCCAGGAAAGCAUAUGUCCUUGAUGCACCGCUAGGUGAAGCACCUGUUUUCCUUGCAGAACAAGACAUUAUGAACGCUUGGCAGACGCGUAGUGAUGAUUACUCCCUGGUUCAGUGUGGCAUGCUUUACAGCUUAGAACCGGGGCUCCAAAAGCGUUUUGAGCAACACGGAGCAUAUGAGAUGUUCCAAGAGCUGAAAAUGGUUUUCCAAGCUCAUGCCCGGGUCGAGAGAUAUGAAGUAUCCGACAAGUUCUACAGUUGUAAGAUGGAGGAGAACAGUACUGUCAGCGAGCACAUACUCAAAAUGUCUGGGUUGCACAACCGCUUGUCUCAGCUGGGAGUUAAUCUCCUGGAUGAUGCGGUCAUUGACAGAAUCCUUUAGUCGCUCCCACCUAGCUACAAGAGCUUUGUGAUGAACUUCAAUAUGCAGGUGAUGGAAAAGACCAUUUUCGAGGUAUAUUCAAUGCUGAAAUCAGCGGAGGUGGAAAUCAAAAAGGAACAUCAAGUGUUGAUGGUGAAUAAAACCACUAUGUUCAAGAAAGGCAAGGGUAAAAAGAACUUCAAGAAGGACGGCAAGGGAGUUGCCGUGCCCGGUAAGCAAGCUGCCGGAAAGAAGCCAAAGAAUGGACCCAAGCCUGAGACUGAGUGCUUUUAUUGCAAGGGAAACGAUCACUGGAAGCGGAACUGCCCCAACUACUUAGCGGAUAAGAAGGCCGGCAAUACCAAAGGUAUAUGUGAUAUACAUGUUAUUGAUGUGUACCUAACCAGCGCUCAUAGUAGCUCCUGGGUAUUUGAUACCAGUGCAGUUGCUCAUAUUUGUAACUCAAAACAGGAACUGCGGAAUAAACGGAGACUGACAAAGGAUGAAGUGACGAUGCGCAUCGGGAAUGGUUCCAAGGUCGAUGUGAUCGCUGUCGGCACGCUACCUCUACAUUUACCUACGGGAUUAGUUUUAAACCUCAAUAAUCGUUAUUUAGUACCAGCUUUGAGCAUGAACAUUCUAUCUGGAUCUCGUUUAAUGCGAGAUGGCUACUCAUUUAAAUCUGAGAAUAAUGGUUGUUUUAUUUAUAUGAGAGACAUGUUUUAUGGUCAAGCCCCGAUGGUCAAUGGUUUAUUCUUAUUUAAUCUCGAACGUGAUGUUACACAUAUUCAUAGUGUGAAUGCCAAAAGAUGUAAGGUUGAUAAUGAUAGUCCCACAUACUUGUGGCACUGCCGCCUUGGUCACAUUGGUGUCAAACGCAUGAAGAAACUCCAUGCAGAUGGACUUUUGGAGUCUCUUGAUUAUGAAUCAUUUGACACAUGCGAACCAUGCCUCAUGGGCAAAAUGACCAAGACUCCAUUCUCCGGAACAAUGGAGCGAGCAACCAACGUAUUGGAAAUCAUACAUACUGAUGUGUGCGGUCCAAUGAGCGUUGAGGCUCGCAGUGGCUAUCAUUAUGUGCUCACCCUCACUGAUGACUUAAGUAGAUAUGGGUAUGUCUACUUAAUGAAACACAAGUCAGAGACCUUUGAAAAGUUCAAGGAAUUUCAGAGUGAGGUUGAGAAUCGACGUGACAGAAAAAUCAAGUUCUUACGAUCAGAUCAUGGGGAAGAAUAUUCGAGUCACGAAUUUGGCAUGCACUUAAGGAAAUGUGGAAUAGUUUCACAACUCACACCGCCUGGAACACCACAGCGUAAUGGUGUGUCCGAACGUCGUAAUCGCACCCUAUUGGAUAUGUUACGAUCUAUGAUGUCUCUUACCGAUCUACCGCUAUCAUUUUGGGGUUAUGCUAUAGAGACUGCCGCAUUCACUUUAAAUAGGGCUUCGUCGAAAUCCGUUCAGACGACACCGUAUGAAUUGUGGUUUGGCAAGAAACCUAAGCUGUCGUUUCUAAAAGUUUGGGGAUGCGAUGCUUAUGUCAAGAAACUUCAACCUGAAAAGCUUGAACCCAAACCGGAAAAAUACGUCUUCAUAGGAUACCCUAAAGAAACUAUUGGGUAUCUGUCGGGGAUAUACCCUGCGGUGUAAACCGGCCGGAAGUUAACCCGGCCGGACUUGGCGGUUUAUCUGAAGACCCCACUGACACUUGGCAAGUUACUGGCAACCCACCCUGACCUGGCGGUUUACAAGCAACCCACCUGGUCAUUAUGACUCAUUGGUGAUCCGGCGUGCGGGAUCGACAGAUCAAGGCCCAAAGCCCAGAAGGCCGGUUCACGUUUAACGGUGGGCCGGUUUAAGAGGAAAGGCAUGAGGAACAUUAUCUUGCAAGGAGCUAAGACCUAUACUUGUAUCCGGUUUGUAUUAGAGAUAGACUAGUCCUAAUCCUAAUAGGACUCCACAUGUAAACCGCCCCUUCAACAUAUAUAAGGAGGGGCAGGGCUCCCCAAAAGGGGACAAUAUUCACAAGUUCCACAAGUUGGACAAGUUAGGUUUAGACAAUAGCUCUCGAGAUAGAGCACUCUUGUAACCGUGAUCAUCAUCAUCAAUAUCAAUGAAGCAGGAUGUAGGCUUUUACCUCCACCGUGAGGGGCCGAACCUGGGUAAAACAUCGCGUCUCUCGUCCCGCUCAACCCCUCUCAAGCUACCACAUAGAUGCGUUGGCCUCGCGACUAAGUCCUGACACUAAGGACAUCUGUCGUGACAAUUCCACAACAGUUGGCGCCCACUGUGGGGCUGACGCACGAUGGUGAUGAGUUCUUGGAGGGAUCUCUCAGGGAUCGAGAAGUUCGCAAAUUUGCCAAGGAAGAAAAAUUGGUUUUGAAAGGAUCUACAUCGACUUUGAUCAAAAUCGGAAAUUAUGGAUUAAUGGAGUGUCUCCGGUCGAUUGGCAAGAUUAAUAGAGAAGAUCCCGAAGGUUUCGUUCGGUUCAAGUUGGAUCACCGAAAUCCAAUAGGUGCAAUCGUCAAACAUGCAUAAGGACAAACUAUCAUAGGUGGCUUCUGCUGUUGGUUAGUGCGACGAAUCGCUGCUGUCGUAAACCGCUGGCACCUGGUCGCGUCUUCAUGAGAGGGCCCACCACCAUUGACAGCCGUCGGGCGGGUGCAAUCAUUACAUUUCAGUUUAAACCGCCACGCCUCGAAGCAGGUCUGCCUUUUUUCCCCUCAAAACCGCUUUGGAGCCAUGCCUAUCCCAAAUCGCUCAGGCAAUCUGUUUCCGCCACGUACUGUAAACCGCUGCCGCCGUCAUCCGCCUGGUCCUGUGAUUGCUUCAUUGGUCUGGAUGAGCCAACAAGGCAUCCCCUAGAGUUGUCGGUCCAUCUGGCACCACCACCACGCGACCCGCAUCCACACCAAGCUGCAGCCUCCUCGGCGGCCUGGCCGACCGGCCCCCAGCGGCGGCGGCGGUAAGUGCUACAACCGUGACCCAGAUUCGCCGUGGUAAAUCGCCACAGCCUCCUCCGUCCUGUGACCACGGGAUUCGUCGGCGUGGCAGUAUGCUUCAGCUCCGAGUCAGCGACUCCCGCGGGUCACCUCCUACCCCGUCCACCACCACCUACCCGAGGGAUACCGCCAGUUUGUUCCCCUGCAUCGAAGCCGCAGCGGUCAAGCAUCAGCUCUGACAGGCCGUCUCCCUGCUGGAUCACCUCUAUCUGAAUCGACAGCGGGCCGCCAUGGAUUCGCCCUGCCGCCUGGACCUGCCCUACUGCUUUAAGCCGCCCCGCCGCUUUACUCCAACGGGCAGCCCCGCGUCGCUCGCCAUGAGCCACCAAGAUGGGCCUUGUUAGGCUGGCCGUGAGCCGCCGCGCCUCAAUGGAGAACCGUCGUCCGACUCUGAGCCGUCGAGAGUCACAUCCGGGAGCCGGCCGUGCCUCGCCAUCGCCUCGGCUGCAGGGAGCCACAUUAUCGAGCUGCCCGAAUCUAUCGUCGGGUCAAGGGCUGCAUAUCGAGUCACCGGUCUUCGCCGGCCCUGAGCCGCUUUUGCCGAGUCACCGGCAAGGUGCCCCCAGCUUCUUCCUCAAUUCUGUUGUGGCCUCUGUGUCAGGCCACCUCGCCCCCCGCGUGACCCAUCCACACCGGUUCUGCCUCCACCUCUGCAAGCUGCUACACUAAUGCGCGGAGAGCUGGUUGUGAAAAGGGAGUUUUUUCUGUUGAUAGUGGAUGAGCCAUACCAUAACCAGGUGCUAUCCAUCUAAAGUCUAUUUUAUUUAGCACAUGUUGUUUUCUAUCAAAAGAACAAAUUGCUUUGAUUUGUAUUUUUAUACACAGGACCAUUAUUCAUUACAAAUAUGGUUUAUACCAUGGAUAUGGAACACGGGCUGAUAAUGUUCCGCCCGGCGAUAGUCCGUGACGUAUUACCUGUUGAAUGGAUGUGCACAAGUCGCCGCCCUUGCGGCCCGGUCUACAUCGACUUACCGGGAUCGCGUUUGAUCGAUGUUCAAUGGACGUGCACAAAGCCGCCGCUUCUGCGGACCUGGUCUACAUCAACACACCGGGCCGCACCUGUCUGCAUGAGCUAUUUAUUGAGUAUGAGCAAGUCACUGCUUGGGUAGCCCGGAUUUUCUUUCAAUACAUUGGAGGCAAAUUAUCAUUCAGCCGCCGUCUGCACUGGAUGGCUCAAUGGGCAGGCGGACAAGUCGCCGCCACUACAAUUUUGGUUAAACUUCAAAUCGCCAGUUGGAAGGAACCAUUGGCCGAGUUGCUGACACGGCUCAUAUGGGAUCAUUUACAACCUGCCACAGUCACCUCAAUCUUCUAUGAAUUCACAUCGUGCUAUCAACGCCAAUGAUAUACAAGUUAUGCCGGUUUAUAUCACGGUCAAAUAUGGAGAGUCUCAAGCCAACUCCUUGAGUCACCUCUGAGACUCGGGGGCUACAAUGACAUGACUCGGCAAAUCUUGCCAGUUUCAGCCGGUUUAAGAACCCAGGAUGAUGGAGGGAAAGAUAACCCAGUCCUGGAGGCUACUGUUAUAUUGAUGAAAGUUUAAAGGCCUUCAGAAAAUUUCCGGUUUAGAAAGUAUAUGACGGUUACAAAAUCCCGGUUCAAUGAAGAAGAUCCGGGUCAUCAGAAAGGAUUCCGGUUUAAAAUCCGGCUCAAGGGAAGUCGGUCUGACUACAGCUCUCAAAUAUCCGGUUUACAGUCCGGUUCAAGGGAAAUCGGUUCUCCCGCAAAGCUCUGGAGCGCUCAAAUCCGGUUUAACGAUGUCCGGUUCAAAAAGGAAUUAACUUCUCGCAAACUCGAGUUUAAAGGUCGUCAGAAAAUUUUCCGGCUGAAAAUGAAGAUUCCGGUUUAAAAUCCGGUUUAAGGGAAAGAUGUCUCCCACAAAGCUUUGAAGCUCUCAAUAUCCGGUUCAAGAUCCCGGUUCAAGAAGAAUUUAUCUCUUGCAAAAAGUUAAAAAUUGCCGAAGAGGACCUGCUGCCAUGAUGCGCGGUUCAAACAUGGGUAUCCCGCCUUACUGGCCUGAUAUAUUAUUGAUCACAUGGGGGCUUCUGCUUCAUAAAGCGGGGUCUCUGUUCUUUUACAUCAUGUGUGGUUACACGGAGUUGUUCUAAAGCGGCCUCCGGUUUACCCCUUCAGUUCGCUUUUUAAAAAGCAUCAUGUUAUAUCACUUGGAGGUUUGGUCAUGUCCGAACCAAUACCAUACCUCUUGAUAGACGAGAGCCACCAGAUCACUUGGGGACUUGGUCACGUCUGAACCAGUCAUGCCUCUUGAUCGGCCUAAGGCCACAUAAUCACUUGGGGGCUUGGUCGAACCCGAACCAUUGCCAUGCCACUUGGUCGGCAUAAAUGCCACGGUUUCAUUUGGGGACCUGGCUGACUAGAACCAUAGUUACACCUAACGGGAGUUUGGUCGUGUUCGGCCAUGGUAACGCCAUUUGAUCAGCUCAAAUAACCUUUUUUGCAAACGGUUUUGUCUUUGCUUUUUCUUCGCACUUUUCUUUGCAAGAUACUUUUUUCUUUUUUAUUGCGUUUUUUUAAACCGACAAAGUUUUCAAUCAAUCAAUUGACGGAACACAGUUCACGUCAAUCCGGAGACUAUUUGCCCGGUUUGAUCCUUGUUGUUAACAUCCUCUUAUGGAGUAACAUGGUGUUUAUCACAACCCGGCACGGUUUUAUCAUAAACCGGCACAAUAUGGAAGGAGUUAUCAGUACUCGAGAUUUGGGUUAUCACCCUUACUACAAAAAGUUGGUAAAACCAACAAUGUGAUUCAAUGUCAUAGGUAUGAUAUAUUUCAUAUUUGAUUAUUCUUUAGUGCAGCCUUGGUUAUAAACCCGGGUUAUAUGUUGGGCAUUAUGACCCGUCCGGCGGUAAACUACCAGGACAUUUUAAACUUGUUGUAUGCAGAAACAGGUUUGUUAAACCGGCCUGGCUUUGGACUAUAAGUCGCCAGUAUAUAUAUAUAUAUUUGGAUUGCGCCAUUGGAAUCAUGCGCUCAUAAAUCAUUGGUUUAUAUUAUUCAAAUAGCCAAGUUUGGCUGAAUUUUCAUUAUGGUAUUGAAUGAAUAAGGUUUUCACCGGAUUAUGUUAUCUUAAAUAGCCAACAUGGCUGGAUUUUAUUAUGGUUAUCAGUAAUCAGUAUUAUGAUUAAGGUUUUCAAAGUCGCGUUAGCGCAAUGGCUAUUAUAUUAUCAAUGGAUAUGAUUUAUUGAAGGAAUAGUCCCGAGUCGCUGCAGGCUUACGACUCGGCACUUGGGGGCUACAUUAUUCACGUUGAGAUUUCAUCAAAUAUGCAAGUCUCAUGUCGCUGCAAGCAUGCACCAUGACACUUGGGGGCUAAUGCAAAAUCAUUUUUUGCUCACUUUAUUGAAGACCCGACUCAUCACAUUGUAAUGAGCCAGCCCUUGGGGGCUACCAAUUGCUCCUGUCAACAAUUCAAGGUACACAAGUUUUUAUCCAUUAUAUUGAACGGUCCACUCCUCAGUUGGUAAAGCACAAAGCUCUUAACCUUGUGGACGUGGGUUCAAGCCCCAUGAUGGGAGUUACAUCAUAUGAUGUUAUUUUCAAUGAAGUAUAUAUAAAGUCACAGCUCAAUAUUAUCUUACUGAACCGACCCUUGGGGGCUACACUGAUUGAAGUUUUUAUAAGCAAUUACAAGUCCCAGGUUGCUGCAAGCAUGACAACCCGGCACUUGAGGGCUACAUAUAUGGAGUAUUCAGUUUAUAUAAUUGAGAUGAACAAACCGGAUUUCUUCAAGGUUGAAACACUUAUUGGAGCAAGUCUUAAGUUAUCACUAUAUUCUCCUCUUAAGACUUGGGGGCUACAGGUAUUAUGCAUAUAAAGAAGGAACAUCUUCAUUUUAUCAGUUUUGAGCAAAUCAGGAAGAUCAAUUACAUGACACGGUGUCGAUAACAAUUAUGACCCGGCGCCAUCAAUAUUUAUAAACCGGCCAUUUUGGUAAUAUUAAACCGGCAAGUUUUACAUCUUCAAACCGGCUGAAUAUCAGAUAAGUAUUUUCAUACCCAUAUUUCUUAAACCGACGCUUUGGGAGCUGAGUCAAAGGAGUUAUUCUUCACAAUAUUUCUCGGUGACAAACCAAUGUCGGCAAAUUGAUUAAGAAGCUAGUCUGUUUACCCGGAUUUCCCAGAAGGAGGAAAUAACAAGGACUUAAGGAUGAUCAGUUACCGGUUUACAAUUUUUUUUUAACCCGGAGCAUAACCUGUCAAAUUUCUUCUUGUGUUUAUUUUGUAGCAUAAGUUUACCAUGAAUAAAUCCAAGAUAAACUUGGGGGCUAAUGUCGGGGAUAUACCCCGCGGUGUAAACCGGACGGAAGUUAACCCGGCCGGACUUGGCGGUUUAUCUGAAGACCCCGCUGACACUUGGUGAGUUACUGGCGACCCGCCCUGACCUGGCGGUUUACAAGUAACCCACCUGGUCAUUAUGACUCACUGGUGAUCCGGCAUGCGGGAUCGACGGAUCAAGGCCCAAAGCCCAGAAGGCCGGUUCACGUUUAACGGUGGGCCGGUUUAAGAGGAAAGGCAUGAGGAACAUUAUCUUGCAAGGAGCUAAGACCUGGACUUGUAUCUGGUUUGUAUUAGAGAUAGACUAGUCCUAAUCCUAAUAGGACUCCACAUGUAAACCGCCCCUUCAACAAUAUAAGGAGGGGCAGGGCCCAAAAGGGGACAAUAUUCACAAGUUCCACAAGUUGGACAAGUUAGGUUUGGACAAUAGCUCUCGAGAUAGAGCACUCUUGUAACCGUGAUCAUCAUCAUCAAUAUCAAUGAAGCAGGAUGUAGGCUUUUACCUCCACCGUGAGGGGCCGAACCUGGGUAAAACAUCACGUCUCUCGUCCCGCUCAACCCCUCUCAAGCUACCACAUAGAUGCGUUGGCCUCGCGACUAAGUCCUGACACUAAGGACAUCUGCCGUGACAAUUCCACGACAGUAUACCUUCUACCUUAGAUCUGAAGGCAAGACCUUUGUUGCAAAGAAUGGAUCCUUUCUAGAGAAAGAGUUUCUCUCGAAAGAAGUAAGUGGGAGGAAAGUAGAACUUGAUGAAGUAUUGCCUCUUGAACCGGAGAGUGGCGCAGCUCAAGAAAAUGUUCAUGAGGUGCCUGCACCGACUAGGGAGGAAGUUAAUGAUGAUGAUCAUGAAACUUCAGAUCAAGUUGCUACUGAACUUCGAAGGUCCACAAGGACACAUUUCGCACCAGAGUGGUACGGCAACCCUGUCCUGGAAAUCAUGUUGUUAGACAAUGGUGAACCUUCGAACUAUGAAGAAGCGAUGGCGGGCCCAGAUUCCGACAAAUGGCUGGAAGCCAUGAAAUCCGAGAUAGGAUCCAUGUAUGAAAACGAGUAUGGACUUUGACUGACUUGCCCGAUGAUCGGCGAGCCAUAGAAAAUAAAUAGAUCUUUAAGAAGAAGACAGACGCGGAUGGUAAUGUGACCAUCUAUAAGGCUCGGCUUGUCGCUAAGGGUUAUCGACAAGUUCAAGGGGUUGACUACGAUGAGACUUUCUCACCUGUACCAAAGCUGAAGUCCGUCCGAAUCAUGUUAGCAAUUGCCGCAUUCUAUGAUUAAUAUGGCAAAUGGACGUCAAAACGGCAUUCCCUAAUGGUUUCCUUAAGGAAGAAUUGUAUAUGAUGCAGCCGGAAGGUUUUGUCGAUCCUAAGAAUGCUGACAAGGUGUGCAAGCUCCAAUGCUCAAUCUAUGGACUGGUGCAAGCAUCUCAGAGUUGGAACAUUCGAUUUGAUGAGAUGAUCAAAGCGUUUGGGUUUACGCAGACUUAUGGAGAAGCCUGUGUUUACAAGAAAGUGAGUGGGAGCUCUGUAGCAUUUCUCAUAUUCUAUGUGGAUGACAUACUAUUGAUGGGAAAUGAUAUAGAAUUCUUGGAAAGCAUAAAGGCCUACUUGAACAAGUGUUUUUCAAUGAAGGACCUUGGAGAAGGUGCUUAUAUAUUAGGCAUCAAGAUCUAUAGAGAUAGAUCGAGACGCCUCAUUGGUCUUUCACAAAGUACGUACCUUGACAAGAUAUUGAAGAAGUUCAAUAUCGAUCAGUCCAAGAAGGGGUUAUUGCCUGUAUUGCAAGGUAUGAGAUUGAGCACGGCUCAAUGCCCGACCACGGCAGAAGAUAGAGAAAAGAUGAGUGUCGUCCCCUAUGCCUCGGCCAUAGGGUCUAUCAUGUAUGCCAUGAUGUGUACCAGACCUGAUGUAAACCUUGCAGUAAGUUUGGUAGGAAGGUACCAAAGUAAUUCCGGCAUGGAACACUGGACAGCGGUCAAGAAUAUCCUGAAGUACCUGAAAAGGACUAAGGAUAUGUUUCUCGUCUAUGGAGGUGACGAAGAUCUCAUCGUAAAGAGUUACGUCGAUGCUAGCUUCGACACAGAUCUGGAUGACUCUAAGUCACAAACCGGAUACGUGUAUAUUUUGAAUGGUGGGGCAGUCAGCUGGUGCAGUUGCAAGCAAAGCAUCGUGGCGGGAUCUACAUGUGAAGCGGAGUACAUGGCAGCCUCGGAGGCAGCACAAGAAGCAAUCUGGGUGAAGGAGUUCAUUACCGACCUAGGAGUUAUUCCCAAUGCGUCGGGCCUGAUGACUCUCUUCUGUGACAACACUGGAGCUAUUGCCAUUUCCAAGGAGCCCAGGUUUCACAGGAAGACCAUGCAUAUCAAGCGUCGCUUCAACUCCAUUCGUGAAAAUGUUCAAAAUGGAGACAUAGAUAUUUGUAAAGUGCAUACGGACCUGAAUGUCGCAGAUCCGUUGACUAAACCUCUUCCUCGAGCAAAACAUGAUCAACACCAGAACUCUAUGGGUGUUCGAUUCAUCACAAUGUAACUAGAUUAUUGACUCUAGUGCAAGUGGGAGACUGUUGGAAAUAUGCCCUAGAGGCAAUAAUAAAAUGGUUAUUAUUAUAUUUCCUUGUUCAUGAUAAUUGUCUAUUGUUCAUGCUAUAAUUGUGUUAUCCAGAAAUCGUAAUACAUGUGUGAAUACAUAGACCACAACAUGUCCCUAGUGAGCCUCUAGUUGACUAGCUCGUUGAUCAACAGAUAGUCAUGGUUUCCUGACUAUGGACAUUAGAUGUCAUUGAUAACAGGAUCACAUCAUUAGGAGAAUGAUGUGAUGGACAAGACCCAAUCUUAAGCAUAGCACAAGAUCGUGUAGUUCGUCUGCUAGAGCUUUUCUAAUGUCAAGUAUCCUUUCCUUAGACCAUGAGAUUGUGCAACUCCCGGAUACUGUAGGAAUACUUUGGGUGUGCCAAACGUCACAACGUAACUGGGUGACUAUAAAGGUGCACUACGGGUAUCUCCGAAAGUGUCUGUUGGGUUGGCACGAAUCGAGACUGGGAUUUGUCACUCCGCAUGAUGGAGAGGUAUCUCUGGGCCCACUCGGUAAGACAUCAUCGUAAUGAGCUCAGUGUGACUAAGGGUUGGUCACGGGAUGAUGUGUUGCGGAAUGAGUAAAGUGACUUGCUGGUAACGAGAUUAAACGAGGUAUUGGGAUACUGACGAUCGAAUCUCGGGCAAGUAACGUACCGAUUGACAAAGGAAACUGAAUACAGGAUUGAUUGAAUCCUCGUCAUCGUGGUUCAUCCGAUGAGAUCAUCGUGGAACAUGUGGGAGCCAACAUGGGUAUCCAGAUCCCGUUGUUGCUUAUUGGCCGGAGAGUUGUCUCGGUCAUGUCUGCAUGGUUCCCGAACCCGUAGGGUCUACACACUUAAGGUUCGGUGACGCUAGGGUUGUAGAGUGAGAUCUCGGACGUCACGAGGAGUUCCGGAAUGGUCCGGAGGUAAAGAUUUGUAUAUAGGAAGUCCAGUUUCGGCCACCGGGAAAGUUUUGGGGGUCACCGGUAUUGUACCAGGACCACCAAAAGGGUCCCGGGGGUCCACUGGGUGGGGCCACCUAUCCCGGAGGCCCCCAUGGGCUGAAGUGCAAGGGAACCAGCCCCUGGUGGGCUGGUGCGCCCCCCUUGGGCCUCCCUUGCGCCUAGGGUUGGAAACCCUAAGGGGGUGGGGGCGCCUCCACCUGGCUUGGGGGNNNNNNNNNNNNNNNNNNNNNNNNNNNNNNNNNNNNNNNNNNNNNNNNNNNNNNNNNNNNNNNNNNNNNNNNNNNNNNNNNNNNNNNNNNNNNNNNNNNNNNNNNNNNNNNNNNNNNNNNNNNNNNNNNNNNNNNNNNNNNNNNNNNNNNNNNNNNNNNNNNNNNNNNNNNNNNNNNNNNNNNNNNNNNNNNNNNNNNNNNNNNNNNNNNNNNNNNNNNNNNNNNNNNNNNNNNNNNNNNNNNNNNNNNNNNNNNNNNNNNNNNNNNNNNNNNNNNNNNNNNNNNNNNNNNNNNNNNNNNNNNNNNNNNNNNNNNNNNNNNNNNNNNNNNNNNNNNNNNNNNNNNCUAUAUAUAGUGGAGGGGAGGGAGGGCAGCUGCACCCAAGUCCCUGACGCCUCCCUCCCUCCCGUGACACCUCUUCCUCCCCGCUUGCGCUUGGCGAAGCCCUACCGGGAUCCCGCUACUUCCACCACCACGCCGUCAUGCUGCUGGAUCUCCAUCAACCUCUCCUUCCCUUGCUGGAUCAAGAAGGAGGAGACGUCUCUCCCAACCGUACGUGUGUUGAACGCGGAGGUGCCGUCCGUUCGGCGCUCGGUCAUCAGUGAUUUGGAUCACGACGAGUACGACUCCAUCAACCCCGUUCUCUUGAACGCUUCCGCUUGCGAUCUACAAGGGUAUGUAGAUGCACUCCUCUCCCUCUCGUUGCUAGAUGACUCCAUAGAUUGAUCUUGGUGAUGCGUAGAAAAUUUUAAAUUUGUGCUACGAUCCCCAACAGCAUCACAUAGAUGUAUAUGACUUCUGAGGAUGAUGAACUUUAUUGAAAGUUCAAGAGGGAUUGGUUCAUUGGAACUACCCACUAUUAUCUAUGAAGAUAAUGUUGUUUGUAUUACACAGAUGCACACGGGUUAUAAAGAGCAACAUUACAAUGUGUAUUGCUUUGAAAUUGUUUAGCUCCAUGAAUUGCAAAGAAAUUGGAAGCUAAAUAUCUUGCAAAUAAAGUCAUGUGAUAAUCUCGAUGAUUUGUUCACAAAGUCUUUAUCAAGUUCUUCGUUCUAGAAUUAUGUUAGUGAAGUUGGUAUGAGACGACUUUGUGAAUGCAAGAUUCUCGAGGUGUGUACUCCCAUAUGAUAGCCUAUUCAAGAUUUCUGGAUCUUAGAUAUUGUACUCUUUUCCUUUAUGAGUUUUUCAGAAUGGUUUCUCAUAGAAGGUUUUUAAAGAGGCAAUAGUAAUACAAGCAUUGUGAUAUGUUGUUUUCUUCUUAUUUUCUCACUGGAUUUUCGGAAGGAGUUUUUCAUGGCAUAUUAGGCAUAUCUCCUCAUAUUUUCCGUACAUAGUUUUUGGAGGAGACUAUUUCAAGGAUGAUCACAAUGACAAGGAAGGAUUAGGGGGGGUUAAGAUUUAAUUAAUAUUGUAAUUAAUGAGGUAAUUCUCUCUUGUAUAAUUGCAUGUGUGUUGCCAAUCCGGCAAGCGUCACGACGGUUUCCCCGCUCCGCAUCAAGUGUACACGCCCUUUCCCUCGCGCCCCUCCCGUUGUAUAUAAGGAUAGAUCAUUAAUGAAUUUGAGUGUGGUUGGAUUCAUUUACAUCUUUCUUGAAUCUCGAAUCUCUCUCGUUUUACAACAGCACCAAGCACAUAGAAGGUGUCGAGUUAACUUAGGUCAUGUUCGUAUUAUGAUUUAUUAUUAUAAUCUCAUUCCCAACCACCUCUCUACCAAUUUAUUAGUGUUUGUCUAUCUCGUUUUUGGCUAUCUUUAUGACAAACUUUUCAUCUUAAAUUCUAAAAUGAGCAUAUCAUAAUGAUUAUCGACUGCGGACCGAGUCUUAAAAUGUGCACUAUGAUAAACCUAUAAACGUCAUCAUGUCCAAUCAAUAUAGGGUUUAAAAUUGAGCUUGCUAGCCAAACUUUAUACUCCAUCCGGUUGGGUUUAGAAGUCCGGCGCGUACUUUACCAAAAACUUCGGCCAUGAAUUUGAUCAACAAAAUAUGAGUUACUUGUUAUAAAAAUUAUACCACUGAAAACUUCUCAUAUUUGCAAAUGUGUAACUCAUAUUGACAGGAUAUUUUUUUAUUUGUAAAUGUGUAACUAAUAUUUUGUUUACGAAUUAAUGGUUAAACUUUUUAUCAAAAUGCAUGAGAAACUUAUAAUCUCCAAGGGAGAGUAGCAUGGAUUGUUUCCUAGAAUUAUUUUUUAUUUGUGAGCAUUAACUGGUGGUUUACAUGCAUUUGAAUAAAUGUGUUAUAAAUGAUAUGCACAAUGCUAUCUUUUUUUUCGAGAGUACGCCAAAGGCGUAUCGUAUUUUUAUAGAAGGGAGAAACAAUGAUUACAAGAGACCGUGACUGACAACAAACGUCUACACGGGGACCUCGACUCCAAGAAAAAGAAGAAGAAAAACUACUCUCUCACAAAUCUAGCAAUCCCUCAACACCAACUCCUGCCCUUUUCCAAAGUUUGAUAUCCUAGAAGAUUUGUUGCACUAGGCUAGCGUCGGAUCUCACUUGGUCGUCCCUUUCGAAUACUCUAGCGUUCCUUUGUUUUCAUAAGUGUCAUGCAGUCAUAAUGACGAAGGAGUCGAACCCUCUUUUGACCUUGCCUCGAAAGGAACCACGCGUCCUCUCCCACCACUCGAAGCAACCGUUCCAUACUUGCCUCGCAUAGACGCAACGAGCCAAUAUGUGGUCAACUGUGUCCUCUUCCUGGCAGCAGAUGUAGCAUGCCGACGUGACUGUCAUAAUUAAGAUCUACCGUUGAUAGUGGUGUAAUCCCUACCAGAGAAGUUGAGCUACUCUUCUGAUUUAUAACUCAUGAUGCACGGCACAAUGAACAAAGUAGAGAAGGCAUGUGAAGAAGAAAACACCAUGAUCAUUCAGCACUACAUAGGGAGUGUUCACAAACCAUCGCCACUACAUCUUGAUUAGGAUUGAUCGAGAACCUGCCAUGCACAUCCAAAACAAGCGAGCCUGCAUGCAGACGCCACUACCACCUCCAGGUUCCAUGGAAACUCACCCACCUAAACCUUAGCCAACGCAACAACCUUAGCUACUGCUAAUCCGCUACUACCAUCCUCGAACACUACCUGCUACUCCUCCUCCUGCUGCAGCUGCUAUGCCGGUG
Molecule: long non-coding RNA, 37450 nt
Filed under: Triticum aestivum (bread wheat)
Lineage: Eukaryota; Viridiplantae; Streptophyta; Magnoliopsida; Poales; Poaceae
Description: long non-coding RNA (TAES_LNC001906)
Source: RNAcentral